GAUGAACGCUGGCGGCGUGCCUAAUACAUGCAAGUCGAGCGAACGGACGAGAAGCUUGCUUCUCUGAUGUUAGCGGCGGACGGGUGAGUAACACGUGGAUAACCUACCUAUAAGACUGGGAUAACUUCGGGAAACCGGAGCUAAUACCGGAUGAUAUUUUGAACCGCAUGGUUCAAAAGUGAAAGACGGUCUUGCUGUCACUUAUAGAUGGAUCCGCGCUGUAUUAGCUAGUUGGUAAGGUAACGGCUUACCAAGGCAACGAUGCAUAGCCGACCUGAGAGGGUGAUCGGCCACACUGGAACUGAGACACGGUCCAGACUCCUGCGGGAGGCAGCAGUAGGGAAUCUUCCGCAAUGGGCGAAAGCCUGACGGAGCAACGCCGCGUGAGUGAUGAAGGUCUUCGGAUCGUAAAACUCUGUUAUUAGGGAAGAACAUAUGUGUAAGUAACUGUGCACAUCUUGACGGUACCUAAUCAGAAAGCCACGGCUAACUACGUG
Molecule: ribosomal RNA, 497 nt
Filed under: uncultured bacterium
Lineage: Bacteria
Description: partial 16S ribosomal RNA
Rfam family: Bacterial small subunit ribosomal RNA
Source: RNAcentral